Molecule: ribosomal RNA, 516 nt
Filed under: Mastigotragus pyrodes
Lineage: Eukaryota; Metazoa; Mollusca; Cephalopoda; Oegopsida; Mastigoteuthidae
Description: partial 16S ribosomal RNA
Rfam family: Bacterial large subunit ribosomal RNA
Source: RNAcentral
GUCUCUUUGUAGUUUAUAGAUAAAGAGUCGGGCCUGCUCGGUGAAUAAUUGUUUUAACAGCUGCGGUAUUUUAACUGUACUAAGGUAGCAUAAUAAUUUGCCUUAUAAUUUGAGGCUAGAAUGAAUGGUUUGACGAAGGUUGAUCUGUCUCUAUCUUAUUUUUUAGAAAUUAAUUUUUAGAGUGAAAAAGCUUGUAUUUUUUAAAGGGACGAGAAGACCCUAUUGAGCUUAUAAUUUUAUUGUUGUUAUGGUUAGAAUAAACUAUAAUAACAUAUAAAUUUUAAUUGGGGUGAUUAAGGAAUAAAUAAUAAAUAAAGUAACUUCCUUAGAUUUAAAUAUUGUUGGGUGAAGUAACCAAUAUUAUUGCUUAUAGAAUAGUUACCAUAGGGAUAACAGCGUAAUUUGUUUAGAGAGUUCUUAUUGAAAAAUGAGAUUGCGACCUCGAUGUUGGAUUAAAGUAACCUUAAGGUGCAGAAGCUUUAAUAGGUAAAUCUGUUCGAUUUUUAAAACUUUACA